AGAGUUUGAUCCUGGCUCAGGACGAACGCUGGCGGUGUGCUUCACACAUGCAAGUCGAACGAGGUAGCAAUACCUAGUGGCGGACGGGUGAGUAACGCGUGGGAAUCUGCCUUAAGAUGGGGGAUAACGGGCCGAAAGGCUCGCUAAUACCGCAUAUGCCGAAAGGUGAAAGGAGUAAUCCGUCUUAAGAUGAGCCCGCGUCCGAUUAGCUAGUUGGUAGGGUAAAGGCCUACCAAGGCGACGAUCGGUAGCUGGUCUGAGAGGAUGAUCAGCCACAAUGGGACUGAGACACGGCCCAUACUCCUACGGGAGGCAGCAGUGGGGAAUUUUACGCAAUGGGGGAAACCCUGACGUAGCGACACCGCGUGAGCGAAGAAGCCCCUUGGGGUGUAAAGCUCUGUCAGCUGGAACGAAAAAAAUGACGGUACCAGCAGAGGAAGCAUCGGCUAACUACGUGCCAGCAGCCGCGGUAAGACGUAGGAUGCGAGCGUUGUCCGGAUUUAUUGGGCGUAAAGAGUUCGUAGGUGGUUUGUCAAGUCUGAUGUUAAAGAUCGGGGCUCAACCCUGGGACUGCAUUGGAUACUGGCAGACUUGAGUGUGGUAGAGGCUAGUGGAAUCCCCAGUGUAGCGGUGAAAUGCGUAGA
Molecule: ribosomal RNA, 644 nt
Filed under: uncultured bacterium
Lineage: Bacteria
Description: bacterial SSU rRNA
Rfam family: Bacterial small subunit ribosomal RNA
Source: RNAcentral